Long non-coding RNA from Sorex araneus (European shrew), 353 nucleotides. RefSeq lists it as uncharacterized. The transcript has 3 exons. NCBI's taxonomy places the organism in Eukaryota, Metazoa, Chordata, Mammalia, Eulipotyphla, Soricidae. The record is from RefSeq and is a predicted model, not a curated record.
CUGGCUCCCUCUGCACCCACCUGGUCCUCCGGGCGCGUUGGAAACUCAGCUUCCGGGGUGCCUGGCCCACUCCAAACACCUGCUUUCGACCCCUCAGGUCUCCUGGGCACGCGUGGCAGUGACCGCGACACACGGCUGGACACAGCUCGGCGUCAAUUUCAACGGAGAACCAGAGAGUGAGAUUUGUCCUGUUCCUCACACGCGUCCACACCCCUCAGCAGCCGAGCGGCCGUGCACAGGCCUUGGCAUCGCGCCUCUCCUUCGGGCAUACCCUUGAAGUCCUGCUGCCGAAUCCCACACCGGGGUGACAAGGCACUUGCCCCUGAAGCCGGAGUGAGGAUAGAAGCACCAAG